CCGGCACGGGUGAGUAACACGUAUGCAAUCCACCUGUAACAGGGGAUAACCGGAGAAAUCCGGACUAAUACCCAUAAUAUGGGCGCUCCGCAUGGAGAGCCCAUUAAAGAGAGCAAUUUUGGUUACAGACGAGCAUGCGCUCCAUUAGCCAGUUGGCGGGGUAACGGCCCACCAAAGCGACGAUGGAUAGGGGUUCUGAGAGGAAGGUCCCCCACAUUGGAACUGAGACACGGUCCAA
This 238-nucleotide ribosomal RNA is filed under the name uncultured bacterium. RNAcentral's name for it is "partial 16S ribosomal RNA". It matches the Rfam family "Bacterial small subunit ribosomal RNA", at positions 100 to 334 of the family's 1533-position model. The record is from RNAcentral.